This 422-nucleotide ribosomal RNA is filed under the name uncultured bacterium. RNAcentral's name for it is "bacterial SSU rRNA". It matches the Rfam family "Bacterial small subunit ribosomal RNA", at positions 355 to 774 of the family's 1533-position model. The record is from RNAcentral.
UGAGGAAUAUUGGGCAAUGCCCGCAAGGGUGACCCAGCAACGCCGCGUGGAGGAUGAAUGUCGUAAGAUUGUAAACUCCUGUUAGAGGGGAAGAAUAGUACCGGUUGGACCGGUAUAUGACUGUACCCUCAGAGAAAGCCCCGGCUAACUACGUGCCAGCAGCCGCGGUAAUACGUAGGGGGCAAGCGUUGUCCGGAUUUACUGGGUGUAAAGGGCGCGCAGGCGGGAUAAAAAGUCAGUGGUGAAAUCCUACAGCUUAACUGUAGAACUGCCUUUGAUACUUUUAUUCUUGAGUUCGGGAGAGAGUGACGGAAUUCCGCGUGUAGUGGUGAAAUACGUAGAUAUCUGGAAGAACACCAGUUGCGAAGGCGGUCUCUUGGUCCGACACUGACGCUGAGGCGCGAAAGCGUGGGGAGCAAACA